AAAGCAUUCGCCAUCUAGAGAGACACAGAGAUGAGGAGCCCAAGAGAUGAAACUGGAGAGGGUCAGCCCAAGAAGCAGGAAGCAGCAGUGCAGGGAGAAAAGAGUACUGGAUUUAGAGUCAGACACCCAGGUUCAAGUUCUAGUUUGCAGUUCGUAGAAGCAGUCUUCCCAGCUUGAUUUUAUUCACAGAAGAAAAAAGGUACCCCUGGGAAGUGCCUGACAAAAGCUUGAAGAGAGAAGAGGCUCUGCUGUGGUUUGAAUGCGUCCCCCAAAGUUCAUGUGUUGGAAACUUGAUCCCCGAUGCAGCAGUACUGGGAGGAUGCCCUUUGCCAUGUUAUGAUCCUGCAGGAAGACCCUCACCAGAUAUGGCCCCUUGAUCUUGGACUUCCCAGCCUCCAGAAUUGUGAGAAAUAAAUUUCUGUUUUUAAUAAAGUUCCUAGUUUGUUGCAUUCUGUUAUAGCUGCACAAAGCAGACUGAGACAGGCUCCUUUACUCAUGGUGAAGAAGGUAAGUCCCUUAUGACUUUAUCAAAUAAAAAUAAUGACUACAGGUAAAGGGCU
Molecule: long non-coding RNA, 560 nt
Filed under: Pan troglodytes (chimpanzee)
Lineage: Eukaryota; Metazoa; Chordata; Mammalia; Primates; Hominidae
Description: lincRNA
Source: RNAcentral